AGUGGCGACCGGGUGAGUAACACGUGACUAACCUACCUCCGAGUGGGGAAUAACUCCGGGAAACCGGGGCUAAUACCGCAUAACAUCGCAAGAUCAAAGCAGCAAUGCGCUUGGAGAGGGGGUCGCGGCUGAUUAGCUAGUUGGCGGGGUAACGGCCCACCAAGGCGAAGAUCGGUAUCCGGCCUGAGAGGGCGCACGGACACACUGGAACUGAAACACGGUCCAGACUCCUACGGGAGGCAGCAGUGGGGAAUUUUGCGCAAUGGGGAAACCCUGACGCAGCAACGCCGCGUGGAGGAUGAAGCCCUUUGGGGCGUAAACUCCUUUCGACUCGGACGAUAAUGACGGUACGAGUGGAAGAAGCACCGGCUAACUCUGUGCCAGCAGCCGCGGUAAUACAGAGGGUGCAAGCGUUGUUCGGAAUUAUUGGGCGUAAAGGGCGCGUAGGCGGUGCGCUAAGUCACCUGUGAAAUCUCCCGGCUUAACUGGGAGCCUGCAGGCGA
Molecule: ribosomal RNA, 503 nt
Filed under: uncultured bacterium
Lineage: Bacteria
Description: bacterial SSU rRNA
Rfam family: Bacterial small subunit ribosomal RNA
Source: RNAcentral